RNAcentral lists this long non-coding RNA (311 nucleotides) under Gallus gallus (chicken). Lineage: Eukaryota; Metazoa; Chordata; Aves; Galliformes; Phasianidae. The record is from RNAcentral.
UAGCUGCUGGUGAGUCUGCACUGCUGAAGGUAAAUUUGGGGCUCUGAUUGUUGAAGGUAUUGCUGGAACAAGUGCAGAUCCAAUCCUCUGUAAGGUGAUGCUAGCCAGUAAAAUGCCUGAGCAGAGAGGUAAAAAUGAUGUUCGACUUCUCAUGAAUCUGAAGUGUGAAGCAAUGGGCAUAAAGAGACUAGAGAACCAGAAAUAGCAAGUGGAAGGAUGGAAUGAAGAACUGGACAACUGGAUGCUGAUGCUACAACACAUGUGGAAGCAGUGAAAUAAGAGGGAUCAGCAGAAGGAAGCCCUUCUUCUCA